Molecule: long non-coding RNA, 4981 nt
Organism: Bubalus bubalis (water buffalo)
Lineage: Eukaryota; Metazoa; Chordata; Mammalia; Artiodactyla; Bovidae
Exons: 4
Source: RefSeq, a predicted model, not a curated record
ACAGAGGAGCCUGGCAGGCUACAAUCCAUGGGAUUGCAAAGAGUUGGAUAUGACUUCGCAGCUAAAACCACCACAACAAUAAGGGAUCCCAGUUGUUUUGUUGGGGAGAGAUAUGGGGGCACCUGCAGGUUAUGAUUUGAUCAGGGCUCUCCUAAAUCCUAUGUAGAAAGGAGAACAUGGAGAAUUGGUUCAUUAUGUUGUUGGGUAAAGUAUUCAGUGCCUCCUUUCUAAAAUGAAGAUGAUAAAUCUACUUUACUACUUUGACUUGUCACUUUUUCCCAACUUGGUCUAACUUGCUUUGGGUCCCAUCUGUGUGUAAACAAGGCAACGGUUGCUCCCCUCUACUUAUGCAGAUCAGUGGUCACUUGAUCAUUAGACAGACCAUAAGCUCUACAAGGGAAGACAGCAUGAUUUGUGCUCCUUUGAGAUUUCAGGGUCUAGCACAGAGCACAUGUAUAAAGUAGGCAUUUGAUCAAUGAGUACAUGAGUUGGGUAGGAAAACACUUUCUUAACCUCUAAUAGAUAUUAAUUAACCUCCCCUUUUCUUCUUUUUGUUCACAUUCACACACAUACUUAAGUCUUGAUCAGAUUCAGGUUCCUCGAGUAACCGAACUAUUUUUCAGAAGCUGAUGCUCUGGAUGAAGCUAGGUUACAACAAUGGAGAAUUAGGGAUGAACAGGUAUGGAAUGCAGAUAUUAAGGGAAAGGAAUUCAGUCUUGGCUUGCUGCUGGCCAUCUUUCUUGUUUAGAUCAUCUAGGAGAUUAAAGAGCCACUGACCCCAAAUGAUACUGAUUUGCAGAGCUCCCUGACCAUGUGGAACUUGAGCAGUGGAGGACGAGCUGCUACCUGUGGGCUUUGUUGUUUGACCCCCAGUACUCAGCGCCUAGCCAGGACAUUUUAAGAAGUAGCAACAGAGAGGAUUGCUUUGGACACGGUUAAUGUUUCCUGGAGGCAUUAACAACCAUUUAGUUUUUUCCAAAAUUCAGUAUGAUGGGAAAAAUGCAGAUUUCUGGGCCGUACUCAGAUCAAACCUACAUAUUGUAAACCAUAGGUGUGGGGCAGGGCAUAUUAAGAGAUUCAGUUGGACUUGGUCUCCAUGAGGCUGUUUGCGGGGUUCAGGCCGCCCCAAAUACCCCCUAUUCUUCCACACCGGGCACUAAGGGGAGUGAUAUCUGAUACCUGCAAUGUACUUACGCUUUCCAUGUUCCAAACUCUAGCACUGGAGUAAGAGUAUUCUUUGGUUUUAUAUCAUAUAGCCUUUGACUCCAAGUCCUAGCCUUGUCAUUUACAGAAAACAUUUUUUAAAAAAUUAAAAUUAUCCUUUGUUAGAGCUAUUUUUGGUGCAUAACAGAAUUGAGUGGAAGACACAGAGAUGCCUUGUACACCCCCUGCCCCAACACAUGCACAGCCUCCCUCAUUACCAACUUUGCCUCCAAGAGUGGUACCCUUGUUUCAACUGAGGGACUUACAUUGACCCAUCCUUGGCAUCUCCAGUUUGUACUAAGGUUCCCACAACCUCAUUUGUUUCAGCUGUAAGUGGUUUAAGGGUUCAGACUUCUCUCACAUGCUCCGCUUGUUCCUGUUCCCAUGUUUUAAGAAGGUGAUGAAGAAGUUUUGUAGAUUCUGUUGUUCUUAACUUUAAACUCUUUAGUUGGGCUGGAAACCCUAUGCAUUCAUUAGAGUAGUGAUCUCAACACCAUGUCCCUAAGCGAUCCGUGUCAGCAUUCCUAGUAGAAGCAUCAAUCUUAGGCCCUACCCCAGACCAAUUAAAUCAGGUGCUGGGCAGCAAGCUGUGUUUUAAUCAGCCGUUCAAACAAUUGGAAUAUUGCUGUAAUUUGAGAACCACUGGACAUUACAGAAAUGUUACUCAUUGGCUUAACAUUUUUAUGAGCACCAGUUGGGCUGAGUGGAUGAUGCUUCACAUAGUGGCAUUUAAGGAGAAUGAAAAAAGGCUUUCUGCGGCCAGAUGAGGGCAAGACAGUACCGUGGGUCAGCUGUACCAUAGUCAUAUUUACUUUUUUGCCUAGACAGACUUAACCUCUGGGCUUUGUGGUCCUUGUUUGUAAAUUUAUUAUUUUUUUAUUAUUAUUCAAUCAGAGUCCAGCCUCAGCUGUUGCCCGCUUAAACGAGGUUGCGGGCUAAGUGCUUGUACUCUCCGGUAAGCUAGUAGAUGUUCAGUGAUGGUCCGUUUGCUGCCCUCAUGGAAGGCGGGAACAGUGUGUGAUUUCAGCGGACCGCAGAGCCAGGGACGGGAAGGGCCUGCAUCUCCUUUGGUCAGUGUUACAACUCUAGCAACUAGCACCAUUUCUGGCUCUGGUAAAUGUUGGUUAUAUGAGCAAAUAUGACGGCAUAAAUCCAAAACAAUGAAUGAUAAAAGGCAGUUUUACUGGCUAUGUUGGCUGAUAACAGUAUAAAUGCGAGGAAGAGUUUUUCAGGCAAAGCUUAGACCCAUCAUAAGAAGUUUAAGGGUCCGAAGUACUAACACCUGGAGUGAGAUGGGCCAGGUGGAAGGAGGAUGAGCGGAGAUUUAAGAUCCCCGCCCUCGGCUCUGUACCACGCAGCCGACUUAGUCCUCCCAGCCCCUGACCUCGCGUUCCGCGGCCGCAAAGCCCCUCUGCUGGCUCCACCACCAGGUGCGGCAGUUGGGCCAGAGGCUCUUGCUCUCCGGGGUUCGUGCCCGGUCAGUGUGAGGCAAGCUGAUGGCUGUAGGGGCCAAAGAGAAGAUGGCGGGCCUUCAGGAGUUUCCUGACCAUCCUGGAAUGACCCAGGACCGACUGGACAAACAGCCUGAGCAGCACGGGUUCGCUGCAUCACCCUGGUUGUUGACGGAUACGGUCUUAAGGCCCACCAGGCUGUAUCGGCUGCGUGCAGUAUCUUGGUGGUAAACAACAGAAGUCAUGAGCAACCAAUUUAAGCAGAAAUUUGAUUUAUUUGUAGAAAACUGCACAGUUCCUAGGAUCAAGGACCUGGACUGAGGAUGCAAGGUGAAUGACAACACAGACCUUGGUAAGCCUCUGGCACUGUCUGAAACAUUCUGCACCACAACUAGGUUAACAACUUCAAGUUAAUGUAAACACUCUGAAAAUGAAAGCACCGGGUGCUGAAUUGCAAAUAUGGCCUGACCAAAAAGAAGGAGGGGAUGAAAUAAAGGCACAGGCCACUCACCGACUACAGGCUCCGUGAGCCAUUCCUCAGGGAGCUGAGAGUAAAGGAGCCAUCUCCCCUACUCCUGUCUUACUGAUCAACCACCAAAAUAGAAUGCUGACAUCAUCUGUGCAUCUGUUCAUUUCAUAAUCAACGUCAUCACCUUCAUUGCAGUCCUAACUUGUAUCUGUUCAGGGCUUUACUCUAUAGCAAGCAUCCUGCUAAGCACUUUGAAUGUGUUAUAUGGUUAUGUGCACACAGCAGCCUAGGAGGUUACAGAUCCUGGGAAGAGAUUGGCACUUAUACAGACAUCCUCUGUAGGUUAGCUCGUGGGCCUGAGUUAAUUAGUCAAGGAUGCAGAGUCUUUGUGUAAGGGAUGUGGAUGCUGAGAGAAAGCAGGACCAGUUUCAGCAUAUCUUAGCAUAAUUUCUGUGUUCCAGAGUCCCUAAGAGGAGGUCACCCAGAACUACUGAUAAGAUUUUGACAGACCUGAGAUCAUUAUUUUUGCUGUGCUGCAGUCAGUUUUGCUUCACUAUUCAGAAAACUGCAGAAGCUACGUUCCUGUUGAAGAGAAUCUUUACAAUGAUGAGAUACUCAUGACUCUGAAACCAAACUUAGUAAUACCAAAUUAAGUCCUCAUCUGGAGGCAGAAAGUAGAUUUAUAGCUUCCUCCAGCUUUCUUUAACUACACCCAUUUCCCUGAAGUCUAACUCAAUUCUGGUUUAAAAAUGUUUUUAAAAAAUUUAUUUAUUUUUGGCUCUGCUGAAUCUUCAUUGCUGCGUGGGCUUUUCUCUAGUUGCCGCGAGCGGAGGCUCUUGUCUGUUUUCAGCAAAUGAGCUUCUCAUGGUGGUGGCUUCUCUUAUUGCAGAACACAGACUCUAGGACAUUGGGCUUCAGUAGUUGCUGUAGGUGGGCUCAAUAGUUGCGGCUCCUGGGUUCUAGAGCAUAGGCUCAGUAGUUGUGGCACACAGGCUUAGUUUUCCCAUGGCAUGUGGGAUCUUCCCAGAUCAGGGAUGGAACCAUGUCUCCUGCAUUGGCAGGUGGAUUCUUUACCAAUGAGCCACCAGGGAAGCCCCAGGUUUAAUAAUCUUUUAUCUAAGUGGUUCUGAUACUCAGUUCAUAUGAGGACUAUGAAAACACGGUCAUAAUAUUUCUUACAGCUGUAUAUUAUUAUUCUCACUUUAAGAUGAGGAAAUUGAGACUCAGAGAUUAGAGAACAUGCACAAGGUUUUACAGAUAGUAAUGCCAGAGUUUUGGUUUUGAAACCAGCUUGAACUUUUAACAAUUCCACUAUUCUGUCUAUGUUUUAAAUAAAAUAAUGCCUGGGCUUAUCCUAGAUUGUUUUGUGGGGUUAGUCAGUUGCGUAGCUGGUGAUAUAACAUUUGAAGAGGAUCAAAUAAGUUAUACAAAAUGUAAAAUCCCCAUAUGAAUUUGGAUUUGCUAUAAAUAUAAUCACUGCUCAUGUUUGAAUAAAACAAUAGACUAUCAGAGAAUCAUUGCAAUUUUUUCAUCUUUUAUUUAAAAAAUGCUCUACUUUUGUCUGUUUUAUCUUGGAUAGUAUGAGGUAUUUGUAUGAAUAAUAGGUGCUUUAUGAAAGGAAAUGACAGGGGCCUCAUUUUUUAUUUGGAUGAUUAUAUGUAGCAGAUUUAUAUGUCCAAAAUAGUUAAAAGCAAGGGCAUAGACUUAGAAGCAAAAGGAAAUUAAAGUGUAAGGCAUCUGCAGAAAUUCCAUAAAAGUGCCUGAGAAGUUCUUUCUUGCUUCCCCCCUUACAACCCCCAAUCUGUGCCUUGCCCAGUCUUCAAAGACUUCUUUGAGCACAAAUCUUGACAAAGGCCUC